This 478-nucleotide ribosomal RNA is filed under the name uncultured bacterium. RNAcentral describes it as "partial 16S ribosomal RNA". It matches the Rfam family "Bacterial small subunit ribosomal RNA", at positions 28 to 523 of the family's 1533-position model. The record is from RNAcentral.
GACGAACGCUGGCGGCGUGCUUAACACAUGCAAGUCGAGCGAUGAAGUCUCUUCGGAGAUGGAUUAGCGGCGGACGGGUGAGUAACACGUGGGUAACCUGCCUCAUAGAGGGGAAUAGCCUUUCGAAAGGAAGAUUAAUACCCCAUAAGAUUGUAGUUUCGCAUGAACCAGCAAUUAAAGGAGUAAUCCGCUAUGAGAUGGACCCGCGUCGCAUUAGCUAGUUGGGGUGGUAACGGCUCACCAAGGCGACGAUGCGUAGCCGACCUGAGGGGGUGAUCGGCCACAUUGGGACUGAGACACGGCCCAGACUCCUACGGGAGGCAGCAGUGGGGAAUAUUGCACAAUGGGGGAGACCCUGAUGCAGCAACGCCGCGUGAGUGAUGACGGUCUUCGGAUUGUAAAGCUCUGUCUUCAGGGACGAUAAUGACGGUACCUGAGGAGGAAGCCACGGCUAACUACGUGCCAGCCGCCGCGGUAA